RNAcentral lists this non-coding RNA (119 nucleotides) under Citrobacter koseri. Its description in RNAcentral is "PK-repBA". It matches the Rfam family "Pseudoknot of the regulatory region of the repBA gene". Lineage: Bacteria; Pseudomonadati; Pseudomonadota; Gammaproteobacteria; Enterobacterales; Enterobacteriaceae. The record is from RNAcentral.
AAAGCCCCGAAAAUCAUGCUCUACUUUGGCGAGCGGACAUGAUAGUCAGGGCUAGGUACGAAACCUAAGAAGGAUUAUAACCUAUGUAUUCCUCAAAUCAACUCCUGUUCGCCAUAAGU